AGGACGAACGCUGGCGGCGUGCUUAACACAUGCAAGUCGAGCGAGGCCCUUCCUUCGGGAAGGUGCCCUAGCGGCGAACGGGUGAGUAACACGUGGGCAACCUGCCCCUAGCACUGGGAUAAGCCCGGGAAACCGGGUCUAAUACCGGAUACGAGAUCCGAGGGCAUCCUCGGACCUGGAAAGGAUUCUGGCUAGGGAUGGGCCCGCGGCCUAUCAGCUUGUUGGUGGGGUAACGGCCCACCAAGGCGACGACGGGUAGCCGGCCUGAGAGGGCGACCGGCCACACUGGGACUGAGACACGGCCCAGACUCCUACGGGAGGCAGCAGUGGGGAAUAUUGCACAAUGGGCGAAAGCCUGAUGCAGCGACGCCGCGUGAGGGAUGACGGCCUUCGGGUUGUAAACCUCUUUCAGCUCCGACGAAGCGAAAGUGACGGUAGGGCAGAAGAAGCACCGGCCAACUACGCGCCAGCAGCCGC
Molecule: ribosomal RNA, 477 nt
Filed under: uncultured bacterium
Lineage: Bacteria
Description: SSU rRNA
Rfam family: Bacterial small subunit ribosomal RNA
Source: RNAcentral